RNAcentral lists this ribosomal RNA (403 nucleotides) under uncultured bacterium. RNAcentral's name for it is "partial 16S ribosomal RNA". It matches the Rfam family "Bacterial small subunit ribosomal RNA", at positions 28 to 526 of the family's 1533-position model. The record is from RNAcentral.
GACGAACGCUGGCGGCGUGCCUAAUACAUGCAAGUCGAACGCAGUUGGGACGGGUGAGUAACACGUGGGUAACCUCCCAUCAGAGGGGAUAACCCUUGGAAACAGAUGCUAUACCAAUACUGAUGGAUGGACCCGCGGUGCCUUAGCUAGUCGGUGAGGUAACGGCACACCAAGGCCACGAUGCAUAGCCGGCCUGAGAGGGUGAUCGGCCACACUGGGACUGAGACACGGCCCAGACUCCUACGGGAGGCAGCAGUAGGGAAGCUGCGGCAAUGGUAGAAAGUCUGACCGAGCAACGCCGCGUGAGUGAAGAAGGUUUUCGGAUCGUAAAGCUCUGUUGUUAGAGAAGCGGUAUCUAACCAGAAAGCCACGGCUAACUACGUGCCAGCAGCCGCGGUAAUAC